Molecule: ribosomal RNA, 484 nt
Filed under: uncultured bacterium
Lineage: Bacteria
Description: partial 16S ribosomal RNA
Rfam family: Bacterial small subunit ribosomal RNA
Source: RNAcentral
AUUGAACGCUGGCGGCAGGCCUAACACAUGCAAGUCGAGCGGAAGAAGGGAGCUUGCUCCUGGAUCCAGCGGCGGACGGGGGAGUGAUGCCCAGGAAUCUGCCUGGCAGGGGGGGAGAACGUCCUGAAACGGGCGCUAAUAACGCAUACGACGAGAUGCUGAAACAGGGGGAUCGUUGGACCGCACGCGAGCAGAGGAGCCUAGGUCGGAUUAGCUAGUUGGUGGGGUAAAGGCCGACCUAGGCGGCGAUCCGUAACUGGACGGAGUGGCUGAUUAGUCACCCUGGAACUGAGACACGGUCCAGGCGCCUACGGGACGCCGCAGUGGGGAAUGUUGGGCAGAGGGCGAAAGCCUGAUCCAGCCAUGCCGCGUGUGUGGCAAAGGUCUUCGGAUUGUGAAGCCCUUUAAGUUGUGAGGAAGGGCAGUAAGUUAAUACCUAGCUGUUUUGACGUUACCAACAAAAUAAGCACCGGCUAACUACGUG